GCUAAUGUAUUUUCUGUUUUGAUUAUCUAUAUAUACUCUGCUGUUAAGCAAUUCCACUAAUCAAACUUAAGCCAAGCCUUGGUAAUUAGUAAAAAUGAAUAUUUGGACAAAUUGCUAAAAUCAACUCAUUAUGCAUGGGGUGCAUGCUACAGUGCCCGAAAAUGGGCCUAAACACAUUCCAAAAAUGGUUUUUUAUCAAGUGCAAAUGGUAGAAAGUGUAGCAAAUGAUUAUUUU
RNAcentral lists this long non-coding RNA (235 nucleotides) under Lathyrus oleraceus (garden pea). RNAcentral's name for it is "Pisum sativum (pea) long non-coding RNA (PSAT_LNC038067)". Lineage: Eukaryota; Viridiplantae; Streptophyta; Magnoliopsida; Fabales; Fabaceae. The record is from RNAcentral.